Molecule: ribosomal RNA, 482 nt
Filed under: uncultured bacterium
Lineage: Bacteria
Description: partial 16S ribosomal RNA
Rfam family: Bacterial small subunit ribosomal RNA
Source: RNAcentral
AUUGAACGCUGGCGGCAUGCUUUACACAUGCAGGUCGAACGGUAACAGGCCGCAAGGUGCUGACGAGUGGCGAACGGGUGAGUAAUGCAUCGGAACGUGCCCAGUCGUGGGGGAUAACUACUCGAAAGAGUAGCUAAUACCGCAUACGAUCUAUGGAUGAAAGCGGGGGACCGUAAGGCCUCGCGCGAUUGGAGCGGCCGAUGUCAGAUUAGGUAGUUGGUGGGGUAAAGGCUCACCAAGCCAACGAUCUGUAGCUGGUCUGAGAGGACAACCAGCCACACUGGGACUGAGACACGGCCCAGACUCCUACGGGAGGCAGCAGUGGGGAAUUUUGGACAAUGGGCGCAAGCCUGAUCCAGCAAUGCCGCGUGCAGGAAGAAGGCCUUCGGGUUGUAAACUGCUUUUGUACGGAACGAAACGGCUCUGGUUAAUACCCGGGGCUAAUGACGGUACCGUAAGAAUAAGCACCGGCUAACUACGUG